GAUGAACGCUGGCGGCGUGCCUAAUACAUGCAAGUCGAGCGAACAGACGAGGAGCUUGCUCCUCUGACGUUAGCGGCGGACGGGUGAGUAACACGUGGAUAACCUACCUAUAAGACUGGGAUAACUUCGGGAAACCGGAGCUAAUACCGGAUAAUAUAUUGAACCGCAUGGUUCAAUAGUGAAAGACGGUUUUGCUGUCACUUAUAGAUGGAUCCGCGCCGCAUUAGCUAGUUGGUAAGGUAACGGCUUACCAAGGCGACGAUGCGUAGCCGACCUGAGAGGGUGAUCGGCCACACUGGACCUGAGACACGGUCCAGACUCCUACGGGAGGCAGCAGUAGGGAAUCUUCCGCAAUGGGCGAAAGCCUGACGGAGCAACGCCGCGUGAGUGAUGAAGGUCUUCGGAUCGUAAAACUCCGUUAUUAGGGAAGAACAAAUGUGUAAGUAACUAUGCACGUCUUGACGGUACCUAAUCAGAAAGCCACGGCUAACUACGUG
RNAcentral lists this ribosomal RNA (497 nucleotides) under uncultured bacterium. RNAcentral describes it as "partial 16S ribosomal RNA". It matches the Rfam family "Bacterial small subunit ribosomal RNA", at positions 28 to 507 of the family's 1533-position model. The record is from RNAcentral.